This is a non-coding RNA of Camellia sinensis, 477 nucleotides long. The record is from RefSeq and is a predicted model, not a curated record. NCBI's taxonomy places the organism in Eukaryota, Viridiplantae, Streptophyta, Magnoliopsida, Ericales, Theaceae.
CGCUCUCUCUCCCUCUUCAAACCCUCAUCGUAAUCUGAGAAACCCUUCUUCUCACUUUCACUCGCUCAAAUCUGAGAAACACCAGUGUAUGAAUCUCGCUCGCUCGCUCUCUCGCUCUCUCUAAACCCUUAAAGUGAUUUCGAUAUCGAAGUUCGGUGAUCCAAUCUCAGAGUGAUUUCGAUUUCGUAGAGCAGAAUCGAUUUCAAUAUCGAUUUGGAAGAUACGAUUCAACCUUCUUCAGCUCGGUGAUUUCGAUUUAGAAGUUCUCUCUCUCUCUCUCUCUCUCUCUCGAUUUCGAAGCUCCACCACCACCACCACCACCAUCUGCAUCGUUUACUAAGGAAAAUGGGUAUCAUUUACUUUUUCUAAGCGCACGUGCUAUCUCACAGGCCUAUCACACUAGAGAAUUCCUAUUCAACCUUAAGCAGGAUGGAAAAGCUUUACCAGAAGGGCCUGUUGUUAUUUCCCCUGACGGAC